AUUGUUUACUCUUGCAAUCAACAUACCUAUGCCAGACUUUGACUGCACAGUGAAAGGAAAAGGAGCUGUGGAGCUCUCACUUCAGAGACCAGAUGCAUUGCUAAUAUUAAAGCUUCAGGGUGAAGUUCUUGGCCCAGAAGUUAAGGACAUAAGUGCUGAUCCAGGUUAAUAGCGAAUUCAGCAAUCAGUUUGUCCUGCCAAAGACUCUGAAUGCGAUAUGUUACUGCCACUAGGAACUUCGGUGGCUGGUACAGAGACAAGUGGUAAAAACGCACAUUUUGGUAGAAAGAACCUUAAACUGGAUAUGUGGAUUAUGAAUUCAGAGAAGACUGAAUUGCACUGUUGUCCUUAUCUCUCACUCUUGGAUUAUUUACAUGAAAUUGCUGACCUAUGUCUUCUCACGUUGUGAAAGCGACAAACGACCGAGCGAGAAGGGAAAGGAGCAAUGCGGGACAAACAGACACCUCGGCGAAGACUGGUGGCCAUCCCAGUGCUGCGCUCUGGCGGUGCAGCGCAGGCGGGCUCUUCCUCUGGGAGCCAGAAAAUUGCCUCACAGUCUUACAGAUACGCAUCUUCAUGUAUCUUCUCUGAAAGCAAGUUUAUUCAAACCAUAUUUCAAAUUUAAAUGUGUCUUUGC
This 637-nucleotide long non-coding RNA is filed under the name Chinchilla lanigera (long-tailed chinchilla). RNAcentral's name for it is "lncRNA (ENSCLAG00000027731.1)". Lineage: Eukaryota; Metazoa; Chordata; Mammalia; Rodentia; Chinchillidae. The record is from RNAcentral.